CGCGAAUGGCUCAUUAUAACAGCUAUAAUUUACUUGAUCUUGACACAAUCCUACUUGGAUAACUGUGGUAAUUCUAGAGCUAAUACAUGCAUUAAAGCUCUGACCUCACGGGAAGAGUGCACUUAUUAGAACAAAACCAAGCGGCUUCGGCUGUUUUCGGUUGACUCAUAGUAACUGAGCUGAUCGCACGGUCUUGCACCGGCGACGUGUCUUUCAAGUAUCUGCCGUAUCAACUUUCGAUGGUAGUGUAUCUGACUACCAUGGUGAUCACGCGUAACGGAGAAUAAGGGUUCGGCUCCGGAGAGUUCGCCUGAGAAAUCGCGAACACGUCUAAGGAAGGCAGCAGGCGCGAAAAUUACCCACUCUCAGCACGAGGAGGUAGUGACGAAAAAUAACGAGACCGUUCUCUUAUGGGGCCGGUCAUCGGAAUGGGUACAAUUUAAACCCUUUAACGAGUAUCUAUGAGAGGGCAAGUCUGGUGCCAGCAGCCGCGGUAAUUCCAGCU
RNAcentral lists this ribosomal RNA (505 nucleotides) under Cervidellus vexilliger. Its description in RNAcentral is "SSU rRNA". It matches the Rfam family "Eukaryotic small subunit ribosomal RNA", at positions 88 to 590 of the family's 1831-position model. The record is from RNAcentral. Lineage: Eukaryota; Metazoa; Nematoda; Chromadorea; Rhabditida; Cephalobidae.